GCAGGAGUAUCGAAGAGGUCAUAACGGGGCGGUCUCGAAAACCGUUGGGCGGCAACGCCACGUGGGUUCGAAUCCCACCUCCUGCGCCA
This 89-nucleotide transfer RNA is filed under the name Clostridiales bacterium. RNAcentral's name for it is "tRNA-Ser". It matches the Rfam family "tRNA". Rfam says of the family: Transfer RNA (tRNA) molecules are approximately 80 nucleotides in length. Their secondary structure includes four short double-helical elements and three loops (D, anti-codon, and T loops). Lineage: Bacteria; Bacillati; Bacillota; Clostridia; Eubacteriales. The record is from RNAcentral.